ACUCUCAGCAAUUCACUACUUCCUGCAACAAUCUAACACCAUCCCACUAUGAAACAAAAGCAAAACAAGACUGAACAGCUAUCUUUCCUGGAAUUAUAUUGCUAUUGCAGAUGGUGAGUUGAUUCGAGUCUCUGAAUUCCACAGCAUUUUCCAUUACUGUGCUUGGCCCCAUAGCCACAUAAUCCUCCACCUUGGACCCUGGCCAACCCAGGAACUGCCAGAAUACCCUGAGCGCUGAUCCUCUCCUGAGAUUUUCCAGCCCAUCACUGUCAAGGAGGACAGCCAGCCACAGAGGAAGCAUUCAAGUUCUGGCAGCACUUUUCAGACAUCCAGCUGCAAUAUGCAUCAAACUGCUAUUGAUGCAGUCUGAUGCAGAAGGUUGGAAGAAGCAGUUGCUGCUGUAUGGGUCUCAAAGGAUAAGAGCAUGCCUACAAGGCAGCUGACUGCAGUCACAUUUUGACACUGUAGCACAUAAUCAGAUGUACUGAGUAAGUGGUCCUGGAAAAAUCUGGAGCCUUUCCUCUCAGCACGAAAUGUGAGAACUUGGCCAUGCACUGAUUUUGCUUGCAGUUGUCUUCAUCAGAUGUAUGAAUUGGAUGGAGACUAGCUAGGCUGAAAUCCCUUGCAGGCAGUCAUAGUAGACCUACUACAGCAAGUAAAACAUGUUAAGGACCCAUUGCCAUUAGUCCAUAAGUUCUGUUCAACCAACAUCUGAAUGGCUCUCUUCAUCUAAGGCUGCUGACCUAAGUUAAUCACAUCUUUUAAUAUUUCCUAAUACUUUAGCAAACAAUUCACAUUAAAGUGAGUAGGGCUGAAUACCUCUUAACUUCUCAUUAAACCAAGUUGGGAUUGGGUUCUGCAAUGAGAAACUGAUCCUUUCGUGUCAUUGGCCCAGUUUGGGGGAAUAAUCUUGCCAAUAGAGAUUCAGCGGGUGCCUUAGGUGCCAACUUUUAAAUGCCUGCUGAAAACUUUUUUAUCCUGCCAGGCCUAUGCAGGCAAUUAAGAGUACAUCAAUCACAAUGGUCUGUUGAUGUCUGCUUUUAAUUUCUUUUUGCCUUUGACAUGUUUUUAACAUUUUAUGAUGUUAUUGUUUGGUUUUAUGUUUUUAUACUGCAAACUGCUAUGAUAUAUGAUAUCUAUUUAUGAUACAGCAGUAUAUAAGCAAUUUCUAAAUAAAUGAAUGACAUAUUUCUUGAUGACAAUAAGCUGGCCGAGGAAAAUAAUUAUAUACAGGGGUACCUUGGUUCUCAAACUUAAUCCGUUCCGGAAGCCUGUUCCAAAACCAAAGCGUUCCAAAACCAAGACGUGCUUUCUCAUAGAAUGUAAUGCAAAAUGGAUUAAUCUCUUCCAGACUUUUAAAAACAACCCCUAAGCUAAAAGAGCAAUUUAACAUGAAUUUUACUAUCUAAUGAGACCAUUGAUCCAUAAAAUGAAAGCAAUAAACAAAUUACUGGAGUCACACAAUCAAUCAAUCAAUCAAUCAAUCAGUAACUGAACUGGGUUCCAUAGUCACAAAAAAGCCGCAAAAACAAAAAUGCAAAAUAAAUAGCAAAAACAGACAGACAUCAGUGCAACACUCAAAAAAAUAGGUGUGGCACUCAAAUCGGAAGCAUAACACUGAAAACGGAGCAUGUUCGGCUUCUGAAAAAAGUCCGCAAACUAGAACACUUACUUCUGUGUUUGCAGUGUUUGGGUUCCAAGUUGUUUGAGUACCAAGGCGUUUGAGAACCAAGGUACCACUGUAGUCCGAACCGUAGUCCAUUGAAAUAUAGGAAUGACACUGACCAUUUAUUUCACUAGCUCACUAUUGUCUACAAUGGCUGGCAGCAAUUCUCCAUGGUAUCAGACAUGAAGGCUUCUCUAGACCUCAGGAGACCUCAGGAAAUGAACCUGGGACCUGUAAUAUGCAAAGCAUGAUCUCUCCCACUGAGCUAUAGCCCUUCAGUAGGAGGACAACCCAUAAUUAUUUACUGUAUGUAGCUGCAAUGGUUUUGUCCUGACUGUAACAUCAACACCACCACUUUAUCCUAAUACUAUAGAAGCACAAACACUAUUAUAAUACUUUACAUAUUAGAUAUUUUACUUUCUUGGGUUCCAUGAUCACUGCAGAUGGUGACAGCAGUCACAAAAUUAAAAGACGCCUGCUGGAGAAAAGCGACGACAAACCUAGACAGCAUCUUAAAAAGCAGAGACAUCAACUUGCCGACAAAGGUCCAUAUAGUUAAAGCUAUGGUUUUCCCUGUAGUGAUGUAUGGAAGUGAGAGCUGGACCAUAAAGAAGGCUGUUCGCCGAAGAAUUGAUGUUUUUGAAUUAUGGUGCCGGAGGAGACUCUUGAGAGUCCCAUGGACUGCAAGAAGAUCAAACCUAUCCAUUCUGAAGGAAAUCAGCCCUGAGUGCUCCCUGGAAGGACAGGUCGUGAAGCUGAGGCUCCAAUACUUUGGCCACCUCAUGAGAAGUGUUGGGAAAGAUGGAGGGCACAAGGAGAAGGCGAUGACAGUGGACGAGAUGGUUGGACAGUGUUCUCAAAGCUACCAACAUGAGUUUGACCAAGCUGAAGGAGGCAGUAGAAGAAAGGAGUGCCUGGCGUGCUCUGGUCCAUAGGGUCACGAAAAGUCCGACAUGACUAAACAACAACAAAGAUCUAUUCCUGCAUAUUCAAAGUAUUUUCUCAUCUCAAUCAUCCUUACAAGAUGCCCACAUUAUUAUGCCCAAUAUUACACAUAUGGUGGUGGUGUACUGAGGCUGAAACAAUCGUGGCUUUAAAGGCUGCAAUCCUAUAUAUCAGGGAUAGUCAACAUGGUGCCCUCUAGAUGUUAUUGGGUUACAGUUCCCAUCCUCCCUAACCACUGGCCAUUGUGAUUGGAUCCAUUGAGAGUUUGAAUCCAUCAACAUCUGGGGGACACCACAUUGAGCUAUCCCUAAUAUAAACACUUCCCAAGAAGUAAGUCCCAUUGAACUCACUGGGGUUUACCUCUGAAUAGACAUGCACAGGAUUGUAUUGUAAGGUAAUCAGUGAAUGAGCGGCUCAGGUAGGUAAGAGUUGAACCAAGGAUUUCCUGGCUUCUGUCACCAAGCUACAUCAAACUCUUGUUGGGUCAUCUUUGGUGCAGAAUGCGAAUUGGUAUUGAGCCCUAUUAUUAUUAUUCUUUUUAAAGAUUAAGACAUAUUAACAAUAUGAUUUGCUGACAGAAAUGUUUUAUAAUAUGGGAAUAUGCGUUACUGAUGUGUAGAAUUUAAACAGUCAUGUAGAUUCACAUGGACGUUCCUUAUUAUUUUAGCAAAGUGCAGAUGAGACAUUAAUGUCAUCUUGAAGGAGUUUCAGCUUUUGAGAUCAAGAGCAGCAGAAAAAGAUUUCCAGUUGUUGGGAAUCUGAGAUUUUAGCAAUUUCUAUUUAUAUAAUAUUUACCACUAGCUGAGGAAAAAGCCCCUUCUCCUGCCAAUAUCAGGGGAAAAUGUCUACAUAAAUUAAGGCCUAGAACUAUUUUGGUUUAGAAUUUGUAACAAAUCUUCUGGGAACUUAGAAACCUUGUUGUUUUGUGGCAUUCCUUCCCUCCCCUAAUAUGCUCUAAUGAAUGAUAUUGAAAGAUAAGAAAUGUCUGUUUCUGAAAACAGCUGGCUUGGGUUUGGUUCUUUGGAAGUACAUUAUAAAGUCCUGGUUUAAAACCAAGAAGUUAAAUAGGAAGACUUCCAAAUCAGUUCUAUCCUUCUGAUAUUAAUUAAACUAGUUUAUAUCUAGAAGAAAGAUAAAACUGUAACCAGUACAAAAUUACUUGAUAGCCACUGUUGCAUUUUCAAAUACAAUGUAAGCAUUUAACACCUCAGUUGGCAACAAUAUUAGUUUGGUUUUAGCUGUAUUAGCUCUGCUGACUUCAGCAAGACAAUCCAUUUAAAUCCAAGUACUAUUCCAUUGUGGACUAUGCUGGUAGAAUCUGGGACCUCAUCCUAAAUAUAUGUUCCUGCAAGUGAACUCUAA
Zootoca vivipara (common lizard) is the source of this 3973-nucleotide non-coding RNA. The record is from RefSeq and is a predicted model, not a curated record. Lineage: Eukaryota; Metazoa; Chordata; Lepidosauria; Squamata; Lacertidae.